GGAAACUUACAAUCGUGGUGGAAGGCACCUCUUCACAGGGUGGCAGGGAAGAGAAUGACAAGUGAAGGGGAAAGCCCCUUAUAAAACUGUCAGAUCUCGUGAGAGCGUACUCACUGUCACGAGAAUAAUAUGGGGGGAACCGCUCUCAUGAUUCAAUCACCUCCUACCAGGUCCCUCCCACAACAUGUGGGGAUUAUGGGAACUACAAUUCAAGAUGAGAUUUGGGUGGGGACGCAGCCAAACCAUAUCACCUUGGUUUUCCAAAGUGCUGGGAUUAAAGGUGUGAGCCACUGUGUCCAGCCAUAGAAACUUACGAUAAGUCAUGUUUCUUGUUUGAGAAAUAGCUACCAUGAGCGCUAUUAUUAUUAAAGCUAUAUAUUGUUAGAAAGCAGACAUCUCACUGUAUCUGCUGAUUUUAAAUGCAUUGAUCAUCUGUUACAAAGUACGGUAAGCUUGGAAACGAGUAAUUUAACAGCGGUAGAUGAUGCAGGUCGUAGUGGGCCACUUAUGCAUGGUGGUUGGAUGGCAGGCUCCCUAGAUUGGGCUGAGGAGACCCGAGGUCUCACCUCUGCCAGCGACUUGCUGUGUGUGCUUGGCCAGGUGACUCAUGGCACCCGGACGGAGUGGGUGGCAAGUGUUGUGAUCACAGGGACGUGGUAUGUGAUUGAGGGAGAGGGCCGGCUGGCAUGACUGAAAGAGAAGACAGUUUCUUUCAUACCGAAAAGUAUGGACACUUACCAGGAGGCUUACCUAAAGUAAGGUCGGGGGCCAGAGUAUGGAGCCACUGCCCCAUCUCAAGAAUAGCUACAACUUACUGUCCUAGGACAAAGGGGAAAUGAGGCUUGAGACUCAAUAAUUUUAGUAGAAAUCUGUUAUAUUUUACAAUUUCACUUUUCAUUUGUACCCAGCUAGUGAUUAUACUCUGUAUCCAUUUUCCACACAAAAUCCCAAGGACCUUCAGAAUCUCCUCUCAGUGUAUUUGGACGCCACCUUUUUCCCAUGUUUACACGAGCUGGAUUUCUGGUAUGUCAUGAGUGAUUAACUAGUUGAUGCAGACUUUAGUAUUUGAGUCACUGUCAGCUUAUAAUUAUUUGUCCUCAGGCAGGAAGGAUGGCGGCUGGAACACGAGAAUCCUAGCGACCCCAGACACCCUUGGUCUUUAAAGGAGUCGUCUUUAGUGAGAUGAAGGGAGGGUUUACAGACAAUGAGAGGAUAUUCCCCCAGCACCUUCAAAAUAGACUUCUUCCCGACCACACGUACUCAGUGGUCUCCAGGGGUGACCCACUGUGCAUCCCGGAGCUUAUGUGGGAGAAGCUUAAGCAAUUUCAUACCACUCACUAUCACCCAAGCAAUGCUAGGUAAUAUUUUGUUGGAAAAGUUUGAUGGUGGAUUGUGGAAAGUUAACUUGUGUGUGUUCUUCCAAUUUCAUGACAUGGCGUCUCUCACAUUUAGCAAUGCUUAGCUUCGAGCCUCUCCUUGGCAUGGAGAAGUGCUCUUCCGAUAGUGGAUGCAGUCACAGAACCUUCAUCACAUCCUCACUUUCUGAUCUAUCGCUUGUUUCUUAUGUCACUAGUAUAAGGUCAUUAUAGUAAUAAUAUAGUUAUACGUAUCCUAUAAAACACUAAUAAUUUACAUAUAAAUGCUAAUGUAAAAACAUAUUUGCAAGGUUAGUUUAUAUAAAAACAAUUAUGAAAACUUUCAAGUAUACAGAAAAGUAGACUAGGAUAAUGAGCCCCUAAACACUUAUCACAUAAUAGAUAUCCUUUUCCUUGUGAAGUUUUUGGAAGUAAAUUAUAAAUGUCAUCAUUUACCACUAAAUAUUUGAAUUUGUGACCUGAAAACAUGAUUUUUUCUUACAUGAGCUAAUGCCAUUUUCAGUUUUAAUAGAAUAAAACAUACUUUCAUAAAACUGCCUAUUUCUUAUUCCAUAUUCACAUUUUCUAGUUGGCCCCAAAGUGUUUGCUGCACAGGGUCCCACAGAUCACACCUGAUCAGCCCGGGUCUCUCCUGGGCACCCUCUCGGGGACGGCAGAGGAGUGUGCAGGCCGGGUUUCCUCCAGGCGCUCUCACUUUCCAGGUGUCCUGGCUGCUCCUGUGUGGUGUUGGGUGCCAUGUUCCUGUGUUUCCUGAGAACUGGAACUUAGAUCCAAAGCCUUAGUUUGAGUCAGGCUGCGCCUUUUUAAGCAGAGUCCCUCGUGGGGAGUUCUGCAUUGAUGGCCACAUCCUACCAUCGUGUGAGGCCUGCUUGCCUCCACCGGGGGGUCUCACACCAGCAGGGUGCAUGCUGAGAGUCGGCCACCGUCUUGUGAAGAUCUGCUUUCUCCCUUCAGCCACAGACCAU
Non-coding RNA from Chlorocebus sabaeus (green monkey), 2341 nucleotides. The record is from RefSeq and is a predicted model, not a curated record. Lineage: Eukaryota; Metazoa; Chordata; Mammalia; Primates; Cercopithecidae.